GUGCUCAUUUUGGCAGCACAUAUACUAAAAUUGGAACUAAACAGAGAAGAUUAGCAUGGCCCCUGCACAGGGAUGACACACAAAUUCGUGAAGCAUUCCAUAUUUUU
Molecule: small nuclear RNA, 107 nt
Organism: Equus asinus (donkey)
Lineage: Eukaryota; Metazoa; Chordata; Mammalia; Perissodactyla; Equidae
Source: Ensembl